GCAUCAGUAGUAUAGGUGGCAGAAUACUCGCCUUCCAAGCGAGUGACCCGGGUUCGACCCCCGGCUGAUGCA
Molecule: non-coding RNA, 72 nt
Organism: Gigaspora rosea
Lineage: Eukaryota; Fungi; Glomeromycota; Glomeromycetes; Diversisporales; Gigasporaceae
Source: the annotation of a GenBank genome assembly